CGGACGGGUGAGUAACGCGUGAGAACCUACCUUUAGGAGGGGGACAACCACUGGAAACGGUGGCUAAUACCGGAUGUGCCGAGAGGUGAAAGGUUAACUGCCUAGAGAUGAGCUCGCGUCUGAUUAGCUAGUAGGUAGUGUAAUGGACUACCUAGGCGACGAUCAGUAGCUGGUCUGAGAGGACAAUCAGCCACACUGGGACUGAGACACGGCCCAGACUCCUACGGGAGGCAGCAGUGGGGAAUUUUCCGCAAUGGGCGAAAGCCUGACGGAGCAAUACCGCGUGAGGGAGGAAGGCUCUUGGGUCGUAAACCUCUUUUCUCAGGGAAGAACACAAUGACGGUACCUGAGGAAUAAGCAUCGGCUAACUCCGUGCCAGCAGCCGCGGUAAUACGGAGGAUGCAAGCGUUAUCCGGAAUGAUUGGGCGUAAAGCGUCCGCAGGUGGCAAUGUAAGUCUGCUGUUAAAGAGUCUAGCUCAACUAGAUAAGAGCAGUGGAAACUACAUAGCUAGAGUACGUUCGGGGCAGAGGGAAUUCCUGGUGUAGCGGUGAAAUGCGUAGAGAUCAGGAAGAACACCGGUGGCGAAGGCGCUCUGCUAGGCCGUAACUGACACUGAGGGACGAAAGCUAGGGGAGCGAAUGGGAUUAGAUACCCCAGUAGUC
Molecule: ribosomal RNA, 663 nt
Filed under: uncultured cyanobacterium
Lineage: Bacteria; Bacillati; Cyanobacteriota
Description: bacterial SSU rRNA
Rfam family: Bacterial small subunit ribosomal RNA
Source: RNAcentral